ACUGCAAGUUGCAAUGCAAGCACGAAUGAUAAUCAAGCUGAGAACGAACGCGACUGCUACUGGCCGAUCGAUGAAUGAAUCAUGUGCGCAGCUGCUCCUUUUGGAGGUCGAUGGCGAGGACGGUGCUGAGGUUCAUGGGCGCGAUGUAGUCGACGGAUCCGGACAUGAACUGCUGCACGAUGAGGCGGUUGGCGCGCUCGGUGGGGUGGAAGGCGUCCCAGAACACGAAGGCGUCGCGGUCGGCGCAGAGGCUGGACACCAUGGUGCAGAGGCCCAUCCCGUUGAACCGUCCCUGGCCGCAGCACGCCUGGGUGGCCGUCUCGAAGCCGUACGCCUUGGGGUCGUCGAUGAAGUCGUUGUGGAUCCGCUGCGUGUUCACGCCGACGAACACGUCGCUGCCGUACCCGGCGUUGAGGUCCGCCAGCAGCGCCAUCAGCCGCGGGUUGUACAUCUCCGCCGCACGCUGCAGCUCACGGUCGCAGCUCCCGUCCAGGCUGUGCAGCGCGAGCUCCGCCGGGACGCAACCGAUCGGACCCACGCCCUGCACCAGCACGCGCCGCGCGCCCAGGUCGUACAGCUUCUGCACAGGUCGUUCGUUCGUUCAUGGCAGUCGAACGUCAGCUCGUUGUCAUCUAUCCCAGUCAGCAUGCGGCAGGAAGAAGAAGAAGAGAGGGCCGGCAUACCGUGAGGAUCUGCCUGUACUCGGAGAGGAUGUAGUUGAUGUAGUCGGGGAGGGAGAACUCGCGGGAGCGCGCUGAGUAGGGCACCAGGUAGUAGUUGUUGACGAAGUCGUUGCCGCCGAGGGUGAUGAGCACCAGCGAGCCGCUCACCAGA
RNAcentral lists this long non-coding RNA (834 nucleotides) under Setaria italica (foxtail millet). RNAcentral's name for it is "long non-coding RNA (SITA_LNC000786)". Lineage: Eukaryota; Viridiplantae; Streptophyta; Magnoliopsida; Poales; Poaceae. The record is from RNAcentral.